Molecule: ribosomal RNA, 155 nt
Filed under: Ascocoryne sp. 1069
Lineage: Eukaryota; Fungi; Ascomycota; Leotiomycetes; Helotiales; Gelatinodiscaceae
Description: 5.8S ribosomal RNA
Rfam family: 5.8S ribosomal RNA
About the family: 5.8S ribosomal RNA (5.8S rRNA) is a component of the large subunit of the eukaryotic ribosome.
Source: RNAcentral
AACUUUCAACAACGGAUCUCUUGGUUCCGGCAUCGAUGAAGAACGCAGCGAAAUGCGAUAAGUAAUGUGAAUUGCAGAGUUUAGUGAAUCAUCGAAUCUUUGAACGCACAUUGCGCCCCGUGGCAUCCCGCGGGGCAUGCCUGUCCGAGCGUCAU